This 1270-nucleotide long non-coding RNA is filed under the name Monodelphis domestica (gray short-tailed opossum). RNAcentral's name for it is "lncRNA (ENSMODG00000041778.1)". The record is from RNAcentral. Lineage: Eukaryota; Metazoa; Chordata; Mammalia; Didelphimorphia; Didelphidae.
AUCUUGACCAGUUAGAAUUAUCACUGGGUGUCAAAAAGAUAAAAUUUAAUAAAAUUAAAAGUAAACUCCUAUAAUUGGGUCCAGAAAAUUGGUUGCAUAGUAUAGGAUAUGGGAGCAAUGCUUCAAUAGUAGCUUAAAUGAAAAGAAUCUGGGGUCUUUAGUGGACUGUAAGCACAUUAUGAGUUAAUAGAUGACAUAGCAGCCAAAAAAACCCUCUUGUAAUCUCAGGCAACAUUAAGAGAAGUCCAACAUCCAGAACAAGGGAGAUGAUUGUUCCUCUCUAAUCUCCAGGUGAAACCACAUUUGGCUUAUUGUCUUCUAUUCUGACAAGCUGGAAAGUGUGCAGAGGAGAGCAACUAAAGUGAUCUCUACAUUCUAAUCCAUCCUCCAUAAAACUUCCAAAGUGAGCUUCAUAAAAUGCAGUUCUGACCAGGUCUCUUCCAAAGAAAGGAAAGGAAAAGGACCUUAAUGACCAACCAACACCUGAAAAAGUCUCUACUACAACAUAAGGAACAAAUGGAAAAAUGGACAUCCAGCCUCUAUUUGAAGGCUACUCUAUGGAGUCAAAGAGUCUGGAGCUGCAACGGACCUUAGACAUCAUCUAGUUUAUUCUUCUUCAAUUUACAGAGGAGGACACUGAGGCCCAGAGAGACAUACUCAUUUGCCUAAGGUCACAAAGAAAGCAACAAAUAACACUGUCAGGAUUUGAGCACAGGUCAAUUGAAAUACUUAAAAGUAAGCUAUUUGUUUAGUUUAUAACAGUAACUGACCUCUGACCUCUCUAACCAUUUUUCUUUCUUCUCUUCUUUGCUUCCCCCUCCUCUAGUUCCCAUUGGGUGCCUCAUUGUAGCUUGGGUGUGACACUGACUUCUUGGGGUCAGUAUGAUAGCAAUAUGUAGCUAAAUGUCUAAAUGGCCCCUCCAAGGUGGAAAGGAUUUGAUCAUGGAUCCACUCAUGGACUAUGAGUCCUUUAGGAGAAGAACAGUCUAAGUUUGGAGAGAAUAACUCCUGGAAGCUGCAGUGCCCAAAGGCAAGUCUCCAGGCCUUAGUUUCUCCACCAGGGAAGUGGCCAGUGAUGCCCCUCAGCCCAAAAACACAGGUAGCGGAAGUUGUGUGGUGUUUCUGAAGCCAUUUGCGUUCCUCUGGUGAGUUAGUUCUGUCACCUGCUGGAUGUUCCGGGGAGUCUUGGUAGAUGGCCUUCCCUUCAUAAAGCAGGAGCAGAAAUCAUGAAGCUGAGUGUUCGGGCUCACAAGACAGAACAAUCUUCAAA